GACGAACGCUGGCGGCGUGCCUAAUACAUGCAAGUCGAGCGGGGUCUUCGGACCUAGCGGCGAACGGGUGAGUAACACGUGGGUAACCUGCCCUCAAGACUGGGAUAACACCGGGAAACCGAUGCUAAUACCAGAAAUCAAUCUUUCCGCCUGGCAAGGAUGUAAAAGGCUUGAUACCUGAGGAUGGGCCCGCGGCGCAUUAGCUUGUUGGUGGGGUAAAGGACUACCAAGGCGACGAUGCGUAGCCGACCUGAGAGGGUGACCGGCCACACUGGGACUGAGACACGGCCCAGACUCCUACGGGAGGCAGCAGUAGGGAAUUUUCCGCAAUGGGCGAAAGCCUGACGGAGCAACGCCGCGUGAGUGAUGACGGUUUUCGGAUUGUAAAACUCUGUUCUUGGGGAAGAACAAAUGACGGUACCCAAGGAGAAAGCCCCGGCUAACUACGUGCCAGCAGCCGCAGUAA
Molecule: ribosomal RNA, 466 nt
Filed under: uncultured bacterium
Lineage: Bacteria
Description: partial 16S ribosomal RNA
Rfam family: Bacterial small subunit ribosomal RNA
Source: RNAcentral